This 389-nucleotide unclassified non-coding RNA is filed under the name Hevea brasiliensis (rubber tree). The record is from RNAcentral. Lineage: Eukaryota; Viridiplantae; Streptophyta; Magnoliopsida; Malpighiales; Euphorbiaceae.
GUAAAUGUAUAAAUAUGUCACGUAGUUAAAUUAAUCUAUGAAAGUAGCUAGAGAGGGUCUAAGAACAAAAGUAAUUUGCACGGGUACGAGUUCAAAAGGAAAAUAAUUUUCUCAAGAAACUUCAGAUUUGCUUGUUUUAUAAGGGGCUAAUCUAUGAAUAUAACUGCUCCUCCUGACAAUCCUACCACCAAUGAUUAAAAGAAGCUUGAAAUGGCUGACACACUGUACUUCAAUAUUCUCUUCUACUUACUGAUAGCUUUGAACGAAAUUAUUAUGCACCAUUACUUCGAAGAGUUUGUAUUCUUUUAUGAAGUAUCAAUGUCAUUAUUAUUAUUGUUGUUGUUAAAGAUUUAAGCCGCAUGUAAACUCGUACUAUCAUCUGAAACCUG